Molecule: long non-coding RNA, 211 nt
Organism: Penaeus chinensis
Lineage: Eukaryota; Metazoa; Arthropoda; Malacostraca; Decapoda; Penaeidae
Exons: 2
Source: RefSeq, a predicted model, not a curated record
CUGUAAACACAACAUUCAGUCAGUAUAUGACUAGCUGCGGUGGUGUAGAGUGUCGACGCUCGUCCGUCUGCAGUAAGGUGAACCGAAUUUAUUUAUGAGCUUUCGAAAAUAAAACGAUAUAUGCCUCAGGGUGCACGAAUUAGAAAAUAAUAAUAAUAAUAAUAAUAAAAAAUCCACGUUUGGGAUGUUCUCGCCUCAUACCUGAAGAGGG